This 56-nucleotide transfer RNA is filed under the name Toxocara vitulorum. Its description in RNAcentral is "tRNA-Val". The record is from RNAcentral. Lineage: Eukaryota; Metazoa; Nematoda; Chromadorea; Rhabditida; Toxocaridae.
AAACUUUUAGUUUAAGGUAGAAUUUUUCAUUUACGAUGAGAAGGUUAGAAGGUUUU